This 253-nucleotide ribosomal RNA is filed under the name uncultured bacterium. RNAcentral describes it as "partial 16S ribosomal RNA". It matches the Rfam family "Bacterial small subunit ribosomal RNA", at positions 524 to 776 of the family's 1533-position model. The record is from RNAcentral.
UACAGAGGUCUCGAGCGUUAGGCGGAAUCACUGGGCUUAAAGCGUGUGUAGGCGGAUCGGUAAGUACCUUGUGAAAUCCCACAGCUUAACUGUGGAACUGCUUGGUAUACUGCCAGUCUUGAGCCAGCUAGGGGCUACCGGAACAAAUGGUGGAGCGGUGAAAUGCGUAGAUAUCGCUUGGAACGCCGAAGGUGAAAACAGGCUGCUGGGGUUGCGCCGACGCUGAGACACGAAAGCCAGGGGAGCAAACGGG